Molecule: ribosomal RNA, 433 nt
Filed under: uncultured bacterium
Lineage: Bacteria
Description: partial 16S ribosomal RNA
Rfam family: Bacterial small subunit ribosomal RNA
Source: RNAcentral
AGCGAACGCUGGCGGCAGGCCUAACACAUGCAAGUCGAACGAACUCUUCGGAGUUAGUGGCGGACGGGUGAGUAACACGUGGGAACGUUCCUUUUGGUUCGGAAUAACUCAGGGAAACUUGUGCUAAUACCGAAUGUGCCCUUCGGGGGAAAGAUUUAUCGCCAUUAGAGCGGCCCGCGUCUGAUUAGCUAGUUGGUGAGGUAACGGCUCACCAAGGCGACGAUCAGUAGCUGGUCUGAGAGGAUGACCAGCCACACUGGGACUGAGACACGGCCCAGACUCCUACGGAAGGGAGCAGUGGGGAAUCUUGCGCAAUGGGCGAAAGCAUGACGCAGCCAUGCCGGGUGAAUGAUGAAGGUCUUAGGAUUGUAAAAUUCUUUCACCGGGGCCGAUAAUGACGGUACCCGGAUAAGAAGCCCCGGCUAACUUCGUG